RNAcentral lists this transfer RNA (76 nucleotides) under Candidatus Rokuibacteriota bacterium. RNAcentral describes it as "tRNA-Val". It matches the Rfam family "tRNA". Rfam says of the family: Transfer RNA (tRNA) molecules are approximately 80 nucleotides in length. Lineage: Bacteria; Candidatus Rokuibacteriota. The record is from RNAcentral.
GGGCGGAUAGCUCAGCUGGGAGAGCGCAGCCCUUACAAGGCUGAGGUCAGAGGUUCGAAUCCUCUUCCGCCUACCA